Molecule: ribosomal RNA, 253 nt
Filed under: uncultured bacterium
Lineage: Bacteria
Description: partial 16S ribosomal RNA
Rfam family: Bacterial small subunit ribosomal RNA
Source: RNAcentral
AACGUAGGAGACAAACGUUAUCCGGAGUUACUGGGCGUAAAGGGCGUGUAGGCGGUUAGUUAAGUCUGGCGUGAAAGCUCUCGGCUAAACCGGGAGAGGUCGUUGGAUACUGGCGAACUAGAGGAUGGUAGAGGCGUGUGGAAUUCCGGGUGUAGUGGUGAAAUGCGUAGAGAUCCGGAGGAACACCAGUGGCGAAGGCGACACGCUGGGCCAUACCUGACGCUAAAGCGCGACAGCAUGGGGAGCAAACGGG